Molecule: ribosomal RNA, 338 nt
Filed under: uncultured Methanothermobacter sp.
Lineage: Archaea; Methanobacteriati; Methanobacteriota; Methanobacteria; Methanobacteriales; Methanobacteriaceae
Description: bacterial SSU rRNA
Rfam family: Archaeal small subunit ribosomal RNA
Source: RNAcentral
GCGCGAAACCUCCGCAAUGCACGCAAGUGCGACGGGGGAACCCCAAGUGCCACUCUUAACGGGGUGGCUUUUCAGAAGUGUAAAAAGCUUCUGGAAUAAGGGCUGGGCAAGACCGGUGCCAGCCGCCGCGGUAACACCGGCAGCUCAAGUGGUAGCCGCUUUUAUUGGGCCUAAAGCGUCCGUAGCCGGUCUGAUAAGUCUCUGGUGAAAUCCCACAGCUUAACUGUGGGAAUUGCUGGAGAUACUAUCAUGACUCGAGGUCGGGAGAGGCUGGAGGUACUCCCAGGGUAGGGGUGAAAUCCUGUAAUCCUGGGAGGACCACCUGUGGCGAAGGCGUC